GUGCCAGCAGCCGCGGUAACACCAGCUGCACAAGUGUAUAUUAAAGUUGUUGCAGUUAAAAAGCUCGUAGUUGGAUAUCUGUCCUGACUGACCUAGCCCUGCGGCUUCGGCUUGCGGUGUGCUGGUUUGUGUUGACCUCGUGCUUCGGCGCGUGUGUCGGCCGUCAUGUCGGACAUCCUUCAGGAGAACUAUCCUGUCAUUGAUUUGAUUGGGGUAAGGAUCCUGAUCGUUUACUUCGAAAAAACUUAGAGUGUUUAACGCAGGCUUUGUGUCGCGAAUAGAUUAGCAUGGAAUAAUAAGAUAGGACUUCGGCAUCGUGCGUAGUUGCCCUUGCGUGUGGUUUGUUGGGUGCUUUUCGGAGUGCCUCUUCAUUCCACUGCUUGGGAAUCACAGCUGCGUGCCGUUCAUUUUGUGGUUUCUAGAGCUGAGUAAUGAUUGAUAGGGAUAGUUGGGGGUGCUC
Molecule: ribosomal RNA, 460 nt
Filed under: uncultured eukaryote
Lineage: Eukaryota
Description: partial 18S ribosomal RNA
Rfam family: Eukaryotic small subunit ribosomal RNA
Source: RNAcentral